AUUGAACGCUGGCGGCAGGCCUAACACAUGCAAGUCGGACGGUAGCACAGAGGAGCUUGCUCCUCGGGUGACGAGUGGCAGACGGGUGAGUAAUGUCUGGGGAUCUGCCCGAUAGAGGGGGAUAACCACUGGAAACGGUGGCUAAUACCGCAUAACGUCGCAAGACCAAAGAGGGGGACCUUCGGGCCUCUCACUAUCGGAUGAACCCAGAUGGGAUUAGCUAGUAGGCGGGGUAACGGCCCACCUAGGCGACGAUCCCUAGCUGGUCUGAGAGGAUGACCAGCCACACUGGAACUGAGACACGGUCCAGACUCCUACGGGUGGCAGCAGUGGGGAAUAUUGCACAAUGGGCGCAAGCCUGAUGCAGCCAUGCCGCGUGUAUGAAGAAGGCCUUCGGGUUGUAAAGUACUUUCAGCGGGGAGGAAGGCGAUAAGGUUAAUAACCUUGUCGAUUGACGUUACCCGCAGAAGAAGCACCGGCUAACUCCGUGCCAGCCGCCGCGGUAA
RNAcentral lists this ribosomal RNA (506 nucleotides) under uncultured bacterium. Its description in RNAcentral is "partial 16S ribosomal RNA". It matches the Rfam family "Bacterial small subunit ribosomal RNA", at positions 30 to 523 of the family's 1533-position model. The record is from RNAcentral.